UUUAAAAAGUAGCCUUUGUCAGGCCUCUGAGCCCAAGCCAAGCCAUCGCAUCCCCUGUGACCUGCACGUAUACGCCCAGAUGACCUGAAGUAACUGAAGAAUCACAAAAGAAGUGAAUAGGCCCUGCCCCACCUUAACUGAUGACAUUCCACCACAAAAGGAGUGUAAAUGGCCGGUCCUUGCCUUAACUGAUGACAUUACCUUGUGAAAGUCCUUUUCCUGGCUCAUCCUGGCUCAAAAAGCACCCCCACUGAGCACCUUGCAACCCCCACUCCUGCCCGCCAGAGAACAAACCCCCUUUGACUGUAAUUUUCCUUUACCUACCCAAAUCCUAUAAGACUGCCCCACCCUUAUCUCCCGUCACUGACUCUUUUCAGACUCAGCCCACCUGCACCCAGGUGAAAUAAACAGCCAUGUUGCUCACACAAAGCCUGUUUGGUGGUCUCU
RNAcentral lists this long non-coding RNA (447 nucleotides) under Homo sapiens (human). RNAcentral's name for it is "HSALNT0298220". The record is from RNAcentral. Lineage: Eukaryota; Metazoa; Chordata; Mammalia; Primates; Hominidae.